RNAcentral lists this ribosomal RNA (647 nucleotides) under uncultured bacterium. Its description in RNAcentral is "bacterial SSU rRNA". It matches the Rfam family "Bacterial small subunit ribosomal RNA", at positions 110 to 753 of the family's 1533-position model. The record is from RNAcentral.
GUAAUAUAUCGGAACGUGCCCAGUCGUGGGGGAUAACGUAGCGAAAGUUACGCUAAUACCGCAUACGAUCUACGGAUGAAAGCGGGGGACCGUAAGGCCUCGCGCGAUUGGAGCGGCCGAUAUCAGAUUAGGUAGUUGGUGGGGUAAAGGCUCACCAAGCCAACGAUCUGUAGCUGGUCUGAGAGGACGACCAGCCACACUGGAACUGAGACACGGUCCAGACUCCUACGGGAGGCAGCAGUGGGGAAUUUUGGACAAUGGACGCAAGUCUGAUCCAGCCAUUCCGCGUGCAGGAUGAAGGCCCUCGGGUUGUAAACUGCUUUUGUACGGAACGAAAAGGUCUCUAUUAAUACUGGGGGCUCAUGACGGUACCGUAAGAAUAAGCACCGGCUAACUACGUGCCAGCAGCCGCGGUAAUACGUAGGGUGCAAGCGUUAAUCGGAAUUACUGGGCGUAAAGCGUGCGCAGGCGGUUAUGUAAGACAGAGGUGAAAUCCCCGGGCUCAACCUGGGAACUGCCUUUGUGACUGCAUAGCUAGAGUACGGUAGAGGGGGAUGGAAUUCCGCGUGUAGCAGUGAAAUGCGUAGAUAUGCGGAGGAACACCGAUGGCGAAGGCAAUCCCCUGGACCUGUACUGACGCUCAUGCA